AGGAGGUUGGCUUAGAAGCAGCCAUCCUUUAAAGAGUGCGUAAUAGCUCACUAGUCGAGUAUCUCUGCGCCGAAAAUGUACCGGGGCUAAAACAUAUUACCGAAGUUAUGGAUUUGUACAUAAGUACAAGUGGUAGGGGAGCGUUCUAAGGGCGCUGAAGGUAGAUCGUGAGGACUACUGGAGCGCUUAGAAGUGAGAAUGCCGGUGUGAGUAACGUUAGGAGGGUGAGAAUCCCUCCCACCAAUUGACUAAGGGUUCCAGGGUACGGUUCGUCUUCCCUGGGUUAGUCAGGACCUAAGCCGAGGCCGAAAGGCGUAGGCGAUGGACAACAGGUUUAUAUUCCUGUACUGGCUAUAUAACUGAUGGAGUGACGGAGAAAGCUAGUAAGAGCCCAUUAUUGGAUUUGGGUCUAAGUACAAAGGAUAAUGCGUUAGCAAAUCUGCGACAUUAUAAAGUCUGAAGUACGAAUGUGAAGGUUCUACGGGACCGAAAUCUUAUGACGCUAUGCUUCCAAGAAAAACUUCUAAAGAUAUUAUAUAGUCACCUGUACCGAGAACCGACACAGGUGGUCAAGGAGAGUAUCCUAAGGUGAGCGAGAUAACCAUGGGUUAAGGAACUCGGCAAAAUUGCCCUGUAACUUCGGGAUAAAGGGAGGUCUCUUCGGAGACCCACAGAAAAAAGGCCCAAGCAACUGUUUACCAAAAACACAGGUCUCUGCUAAAGCGAAAGCUGAUGUAUAGGGGCUGACGCCUGCCCAGUGCUGGAAGGUUAAGAGGAUUAGUUAGAUGGACGCAAGUCGAUAACAUCAAAGCUUUGAAUCGAAGCCCCAGUGAACGGCGGCCGUAACUAUAACGGUCCUAAGGUAGCGAAAUUCCUUGUCAGGUAAGUUCUGACCCGCACGAAAGGCGUAAUGAUUUGGGCGCUGUCUCAACCAUGGACUCGGUGAAAUCUUAAUACCUGUGAAAAUGCAGGUUACCCGCGACAGGACGGAAAGACCCCAUGGAGCUUUACUGUAGCUUGAUAUUGGAAUCAGGCAAUGUAUGUAGAGGAUAGGUGGUAGACUAUGAAGUAUAGACGCCAGUUUAUACAGAGUCGCCCUUGGAAUACCACCCUUACGUUGUUUGAUUUCUAACUUGUUCCCGUGAUCCGGGAAGAGGACAGUGUCUGGUGGGCAGUUUGACUGGGGCGGUCGCCUCCCAAAAAGUAACGGAGGCGCCCAAAGGUUCCCUCAGAUUGGUCGGAAAUCAAUCAAAGAGUGUAUUGGUAUAAGGGAGCUUAACUGCGAGACCAACAAGUCGAGCAGGUGCGAAAGCAGGGCAAAGUGAUCAGGCGGUAGAGAAUGGAAUUGCCGUCGCUUAACGGAUAAAAGUUACCCUGGGGAUAACAGGCUGAUACCACCCAAUAGUUCAUAUAGACGGUGGUGAUUGGCACCUCGAUGUCGGCUCGUCACAUCCUGGAGGUGGAUUCGCUUCCAAGGGUUGGGCUGUUCGCCCAUUAAAGUGGCACGCGAGCUGGGUUCAGAACGU
RNAcentral lists this ribosomal RNA (1526 nucleotides) under human gut metagenome. RNAcentral's name for it is "bacterial LSU rRNA". It matches the Rfam family "Bacterial large subunit ribosomal RNA", at positions 1095 to 2619 of the family's 2925-position model. The record is from RNAcentral.